Molecule: microRNA precursor, 58 nt
Filed under: Bos taurus (domestic cattle)
Lineage: Eukaryota; Metazoa; Chordata; Mammalia; Artiodactyla; Bovidae
Description: Bta-Mir-506-P4_pre stem-loop
Source: RNAcentral
UACUUAGGAAGGCGUUAUUCACUUAUAUUGAAUUUUGAAAGGCAUCUCUCUGAGUGUA